GUGCAAGGGGGUUGGUUAAUCUAUGACUGCUGGUGAAUCAAAUGGGAAGGGAUUCAUUCUUGAGGACUGAGAUGAGAGGGUGAAGCUUCCAUACAACAUCAUGGGGUUUUUUUCUUUAUGCUAUAGCUUUCCAAGUCAAUUAUGCAGGCCCCAAUAGUGUCAGUGGUAUAACCUUAGAAGGGGUGGCAGUAGGAGGUGUGGCAUGACUUAUAAAGGACCCUGCACUUCUCAAUUUGCUACUACGCUACUGAGUGUGUGAUGGCUUUCAUUCCAUGGAAAUCAAACCCAAGCACUAAACAACAUGAUUUUAAAAUACGGUAGCCGCCCUUCAAAUAUAUCCCACAGCAAUUCACAAUGAGAUACAUGCAGGCUGAUUGCCGGGCACUGGGUGAUGGAGCUAGGAAGGAAUUUUACCUGCAUUCCCGAUCAACCAUUUGAUUCCAGGCUUCAUUGCAUUCCUCAUAGCAAGCAUAUUUUCUUUCACAGUGCUUUCAUGCUCUCGGUUCCAUAACUUGCUGUAAUGCUGGAGCACUGGGCAAGGACCAUAGGCUGAGGGCAGGUGGGUGUGGUUUCUCUGCAUGUCCCCCUUGGGGGAGCCAUUAAGGGCUGGGGGGGAACGACUCACUUCUGGACUAUAUUGGGGGCCUUGGUACUGGCUACAUCCUCUGAUUUGUCAGAAGAACAAUCUAUGUUGUAGCACUAAGUUGGCUUUCCUCUCUGCAUCAGUCAGGCGAAGGGGUACCAUUGAAACCAGGCAGGCUGUCAGGAUGUUUGGGCUCCCUUGGAUGUUUCAAAGCUGUAAUUUAAUAAACGCGUGGCCUGAUUUGUU
Molecule: long non-coding RNA, 829 nt
Organism: Rhineura floridana
Lineage: Eukaryota; Metazoa; Chordata; Lepidosauria; Squamata; Rhineuridae
Exons: 3
Source: RefSeq, a predicted model, not a curated record